Molecule: ribosomal RNA, 447 nt
Filed under: uncultured bacterium
Lineage: Bacteria
Description: SSU rRNA
Rfam family: Bacterial small subunit ribosomal RNA
Source: RNAcentral
AGAGCGAACGCUGGCGGCAGGCCUAAUACAUGCAAGUCGAACGGACCCUUCGGGGUUAGUGGCGGACGGGUGAGUAACACGUGGGAACGUGCCCUUUGGUUCGGAACAACUCAGGGAAACUUGAGCUAAUACCGGAUGUGCCCUUCGGGGGAAAGAUUUAUCGCCAUUGGAGCGGCCCGCGUCUGAUUAGCUAGUUGGUGGGGUAAAGGCCUACCAAGGCUACGAUCAGUAGCUGGUCUGAGAGGAUGAUCAGCCACACUGGGACUGAGACACGGCCCAGACUCCUACGGGAGGCAGCAGUAGGGAAUCUUGCGCAAUGGGCGAAAGCCUGACGCAGCCAUGCCGCGUGAAUGAUGAAGGUCUUAGGAUUGUAAAGCUCUUUUGUGCGGGAAGAUAAUGACGGUACCGCAAGAAUAAAGCCCCGGCUAACUUCGCGUCAGCAGCCGC